CCCUUAGAUGUUCUGGGCCGCACGCGCGCUACACUGAUGCAUUCAACGAGUCUAAAACCUGCUCUGAUAGGGGUGGGUAAUCUUUUGAAUGUGCAUCGUGAUUGGGAUAGAUGAUUGCAAUUUUUCAUCUUCAACGAGGAAUUCCUAGUAAGCGCAAGUCAACAGCUUGCGUUGAUUACGUCCCUGCCCUUUGUACACACCGCCCGUCGCUACUACUGAUUGGAUGUUUAAGCGAGGUUCUCGAACUGCUAGCGACUUAGCUUCGGUGAGGUCGCAGUGUGGGAAGUGAACCUAGCUUUGGUGUCUAGAGGAAGUAAAAGUCGUAACA
RNAcentral lists this ribosomal RNA (328 nucleotides) under uncultured eukaryote. Its description in RNAcentral is "partial 18S ribosomal RNA". It matches the Rfam family "Eukaryotic small subunit ribosomal RNA", at positions 1470 to 1796 of the family's 1831-position model. The record is from RNAcentral.